RNAcentral lists this non-coding RNA (23 nucleotides) under Cricetulus griseus (Chinese hamster). The record is from RNAcentral. Lineage: Eukaryota; Metazoa; Chordata; Mammalia; Rodentia; Cricetidae.
UGGAGGAGGAUGACAUGGAUAAA